GGGUUGUGAGGUUAAGCGACUAAGCGUACACGGUGGAUGCCCUGGCAGUCAGAGGCGAUGAAGGACGUGCUAAUCUGCGAUAAGCGCCGGUAAGGUGAUAUGAACCGUUAUAACCGGCGAUUUCCGAAUGGGGAAACCCAGUGUGAUUCGUCACACUAUCAUUAACUGAAUCCAUAGGUUAAUGAGGCGAACCGGGGGAACUGAAACAUCUAAGUACCCCGAGGAAAAGAAAUCAACCGAGAUUCCCCCAGUAGCGGCGAGCGAACGGGGAGGAGCCCAGAGCCUGAAUCAGCAUGUGUGUUAGUGGAAGCGUCUGGAAAGGCGCGCGAUACAGGGUGACAGCCCCGUACACAAAAGCGCAUGUGCUGUGAGCUCGAUGAGUAGGGCGGGACACGUGGUAUCCUGUCUGAAUAUGGGGGGACCAUCCUCCAAGGCUAAAUACUCCUGACUGACCGAUAGUGAACCAGUACCGUGAGGGAAAGGCGAAAAGAACCCCGGCGAGGGGAGUGAAAAAGAACCUGAAACCGUGUACGUACAAGCAGUGGGAGCCCCACCACUAAGCCAGUGGUGAACUCCACAUACGCAUCCUUUGCUGAGGAUACGGUUAACGGAGCGAAAGCGACGUUCAACCUCAAAAGAAGCAGAGGGGGCUUAGUGGUGGGGUGACUGCGUACCUUUUGUAUAAUGGGUCAGCGACUUAUAUUCUGUAGCAAGGUUAACCGUAUAGGGGAGCCGGAGGGAAACCGAGUCUUAAUUGGGCGUUAAGUUGCAGGGUAUAGACCCGAAACCCGGUGAUCUAGCCAUGGGCAGGUUGAAGGUUGGGUAACACUAACUGGAGGACCGAACCGACUAAUGUUGAAAAAUUAGCGGAUGACCUGUGGCUGGGGGUGAAAGGCCAAUCAAACCGGGAGAUAGCUGGUUCUCCCCGAAAGCUAUUUAGGUAGCGCCUCGUGAAUUCAUCUCCGGGGGUAGAGCACUGUUUCGGCUAGGGGGCCAUCCCGGCUUACCAACCCGAUGCAAACUGCGAAUACCGGAGAAUGUUAUCACGGGAGACACACGGCGGGUGCUAACGUCCGUCGUGAAGAGGGAAACAACCCAGACCGCCAGCUAAGGUCCCAAAGUCAUGGUUAAGUGGGAAACGAUGUGGGAAGGCCCAGACAGCCAGGAUGUUGGCUUAGAAGCAGCCAUCAUUUAAAGAAAGCGUAAUAGCUCACUGGUCGAGUCGGCCUGCGCGGAAGAUGUAACGGGGCUAAACCAUGCACCGAAGCUGCGGCAGCGACACUGUGUGUUGUUGGGUAGGGGAGCGUUCUGUAAGCCUGUGAAGGUGGCCUGUGAGGGUUGCUGGAGGUAUCAGAAGUGCGAAUGCUGACAUAAGUAACGAUAAAGCGGGUGAAAAGCCCGCUCGCCGGAAGACCAAGGGUUCCUGUCCAACGUUAAUCGGGGCAGGGUGAGUCGACCCCUAAGGCGAGGCCGAAAGGCGUAGUCGAUGGGAAACGGGUUAAUAUUCCCGUACUUGGUGUUACUGCGAAGGGGGGACGGAGAAGGCUAUGUUGGCCGGGCGACGGUUGUCCCGGUUUAAGCGUGUAGGUGUGUGUUCCAGGUAAAUCCGGUUCACUUUAACACUGAGGCGUGACGACGAGGCACUACGGUGCUGAAGCAACAAAUGCCCUGCUUCCAGGAAAAGCCUCUAAGCAUCAGGUAACAUCAAAUCGUACCCCAAACCGACACAGGUGGUCAGGUAGAGAAUACCAAGGCGCUUGAGAGAACUCGGGUGAAGGAACUAGGCAAAAUGGUGCCGUAACUUCGGGAGAAGGCACGCUGACACGUAGGUGAAGUGAUUUACUCAUGGAGCUGAAGUCAGUCGAAGAUACCAGCUGGCUGCAACUGUUUAUUAAAAACACAGCACUGUGCAAACACGAAAGUGGACGUAUACGGUGUGACGCCUGCCCGGUGCCGGAAGGUUAAUUGAUGGGGUCAGCGCAAGCGAAGCUCCUGAUCGAAGCCCCGGUAAACGGCGGCCGUAACUAUAACGGUCCUAAGGUAGCGAAAUUCCUUGUCGGGUAAGUUCCGACCUGCACGAAUGGCGUAAUGAUGGCCAGGCUGUCUCCACCCGAGACUCAGUGAAAUUGAACUCGCUGUGAAGAUGCAGUGUACCCGCGGCAAGACGGAAAGACCCCGUGAACCUUUACUAUAGCUUGACACUGAACAUUGAGCCUUGAUGUGUAGGAUAGGUGGGAGGCUUUGAAGUGUGGACGCCAGUCUGCAUGGAGCCGACCUUGAAAUACCACCCUUUAAUGUUUGAUGUUCUAACGUGGACCCGUAAUCCGGGUUGCGGACAGUGUCUGGUGGGUAGUUUGACUGGGGCGGUCUCCUCCUAAAGAGUAACGGAGGAGCACGAAGGUUGGCUAAUCCUGGUCGGACAUCAGGAGGUUAGUGCAAUGGCAUAAGCCAGCUUGACUGCGAGCGUGACGGCGCGAGCAGGUGCGAAAGCAGGUCAUAGUGAUCCGGUGGUUCUGAAUGGAAGGGCCAUCGCUCAACGGAUAAAAGGUACUCCGGGGAUAACAGGCUGAUACCGCCCAAGAGUUCAUAUCGACGGCGGUGUUUGGCACCUCGAUGUCGGCUCAUCACAUCCUGGGGCUGAAGUAGGUCCCAAGGGUAUGGCUGUUCGCCAUUUAAAGUGGUACGCGAGCUGGGUUUAGAACGUCGUGAGACAGUUCGGUCCCUAUCUGCCGUGGGCGCUGGAGAACUGAGGGGGGCUGCUCCUAGUACGAGAGGACCGGAGUGGACGCAUCACUGGUGUUCGGGUUGUCAUGCCAAUGGCACUGCCCGGUAGCUAAAUGCGGAAGAGAUAAGUGCUGAAAGCAUCUAAGCACGAAACUUGCCCCGAGAUGAGUUCUCCCUGAGACUUAGAGUCUCCUGAAGGAACGUUGAAGACGACGACGUUGAUAGGCCGGGUGUGUAAGCGCAGCGAUGCGUUGAGCUAACCGGUACUAAUGAACCGUGAGGCUUAACCUUACAACGCCGAAG
This 3027-nucleotide ribosomal RNA is filed under the name Salmonella enterica subsp. enterica serovar Senftenberg. Its description in RNAcentral is "23S ribosomal RNA". It matches the Rfam family "Bacterial large subunit ribosomal RNA". The record is from RNAcentral. Lineage: Bacteria; Pseudomonadati; Pseudomonadota; Gammaproteobacteria; Enterobacterales; Enterobacteriaceae.